GGGUCGUUAGCUCAGUCGGUAGAGCAGUUGGCUUUUAACCAAUUGGUCGAUGGUUCGAGUCCAUCACGACCCA
Molecule: transfer RNA, 73 nt
Filed under: gamma proteobacterium HdN1
Lineage: Bacteria; Pseudomonadati; Pseudomonadota; Gammaproteobacteria
Rfam family: tRNA
About the family: Transfer RNA (tRNA) molecules are approximately 80 nucleotides in length. Their secondary structure includes four short double-helical elements and three loops (D, anti-codon, and T loops).
Source: Rfam by way of RNAcentral